This 247-nucleotide ribosomal RNA is filed under the name uncultured bacterium. RNAcentral's name for it is "partial 16S ribosomal RNA". It matches the Rfam family "Bacterial small subunit ribosomal RNA", at positions 72 to 334 of the family's 1533-position model. The record is from RNAcentral.
CGGGCUCUUCGGAGUGCCGACGAGUGGCGGACGGCUGAGUAACGCGUAGGAACGUGCCCCAAAGUGAGGGAUAACUUCGAGAAAUCGGAGCUAAUACCGCAUAUGAUCUUCGGAUUAAAGAAUUUAUUCGCUUUGGGAGCGGCCUGCGUCGGAUUAGGUAGUUGGUGAGGUAAUGGCUCACCAAGCCGACGAUCCGUAGCUGGUCUGAGAGGAUGACCAGCCAGACUGGAACUGAGACACGGUCCAG